RNAcentral lists this ribosomal RNA (253 nucleotides) under uncultured bacterium. Its description in RNAcentral is "partial 16S ribosomal RNA". It matches the Rfam family "Bacterial small subunit ribosomal RNA", at positions 524 to 776 of the family's 1533-position model. The record is from RNAcentral.
GACAGAGGUUGCAAACGUUGUUCGGAAUUACUGGGCAUAAAGCGCACGUAGGCGGUCCGUUAAGUCAUGUGUGAAAUCCCCCGACUCAACCGGGGAAUUGCGCCUGAUACUGGCGGGCUAGAGGUCGAUAGGGGUGAGCGGAACUCCAGGUGGAGCGGUGAAAUGCGUAGAUAUCAUUUGGAACGCCAAUGGUGAAAACAGGUAGCUGGGAGUGUGCUGACGCUGAGACACGAAAGCCAGGGGAGCGAACGGG